AAGAGGAUAGGGUGCAGACCCAUGAAGAAGAAUGAAGCAAAUUGUUUCUACCGUUUUUGGCUGUUUUGUGUCACCACGGUGCCCACGUACCCACCGGACCUUGCCUCAUGUCCCUCCGUGAAAUCAGCCAAUCGAUCCAAACAUUCAGCGCAAUCAAUCGAUCCAAUUUGGGAGCCGAGCGUCAAUCAAUCCACCGGUCUCAUUCUUCUCCCCUUCGGUGCGAUGCUCUAAUGGCAGGCCGUUGCUCGGGUUCAGCGGGGGCUGGUGGAACGACGCUCAAGUGAGACGCUGCUAUGCUUUUACGCUGUGCUCUAGCCGUUUAGAUGUGGACGGUCGGGAGGAGUACCUCGGGCGACAGGCGAUCGAGAUCAAUGGGUGUCGAGUGCUCGGGAUCAAUGGGCACGGGCGCUCGGAAGGGGUGAUUUGAAGGAUGGGGUUGUCUUUGCAUGGAUGGAGGUGGGCCGCCGCCACUCGUUGCGUGGACGGAUGUUGGCCGCCGCUCCACCGCCGCAUUGAUGCCAUGUCCACACCCAACCAUCGGUGUCCCCGACGUGGUGCUGGAUUCACCCUCACCAUCCCCGACUAGCCCGACUAGCUAGAUCCAUGUCCUGACUGGUAGGAGCUCCCUUCACUAGUAGAGAACUCACCUUCCAUGCGCCCCCUUUUAUCCUGGUUUAAAGUUGGUCUGGGACCAAAGAUUCACCAACCGGGACUAAAGCUCGGUCACUGGCAGGGGGCUGACCAACCGGGACCUUUUAUCCUGGUUGCAAAGGCUAGUGGAAAAAAAAGGUCCUGAGAGGUCUUUUACCAUGAUUUGAAACACCAACCGGGAUAAAAGACCCCCCUUUUAUCCCGGUUGGUGUUACCAACAGGGAUUAAAGGGUCGAGGGUCUUUUAUUCCAGUUUGUAAUAUCAAUCGGGAUAAAAUGGGUCUUUUAUCCCAGUUGGUGUUUCAAACCGGGAUAAAAAGGGUCCCCCACAGGGUAGCUGAAAGAGGACUAAAUCCCUCGAACCCUUUUAUCCCGGUUUGUAAUACCAACCGGGAUAAAAGACCCCUUUUAUCCCGGUCUCCACGAGUUAAUACAAAAAGAUUGCAUCCUCUAUAUGAUUAGAUGUGCUGUGUAGGUGGGAUGGUAAGGAAGUUACACGUGAGGAUCCUUUUUAUCUCGAUUGGUUUAUCCCUACUAAUCGGGACUAAAGGCGACAUGGAGGAGGCCAGGAGCUUGGCCGCCUCUCUCUGCUCCCGUCUGCUGUUGUUGCUUCUUGCACGCGCGUGGUGACCGGCCUGCGGCAGCACGCGGUGGCUGCAUCCCCCUCGUCGGCACGCGCCGCCGCUCCGGUCGGUCCACGCCACCGUCUGCCGCUGCUAUCAUAUGUCCUGGUCAUUGUUUGCUCCCUCCGCCGCCUUAUCUGCGGAGAUGUGACAUGCCCUCCGUGCCGUUAACCUCGCGGGUACAGUGAAGGCUGGCUUCUGGACGGGAACAACGACGUUCGCUCUUUGCUUGCCGGUGCCCCGAGAUUUCUAGAUAGCGUCUGAAUAAUCUAUCCGCUCUCAAUGCUUCUGUCGAUCGAGUAUGCUGAAAAGUGAAAACUUAAACUAUAUACUCACCUGUUGAACUUGUGCAGUAGAAAAGGAAAAUCAACUUGUGUAGUCCAAAAAGUUAUUCAUGUACUUCUUGUGUCUGAUUUUUCAAGAAAAAUAUUGUAGAUGGAGAGCACCCAGAAUGCAUCCGGGAUGCUAAAUUCUUGGAAGAUGGAGAUAUGUAACUGCUUGCUCUGAUGGUACUGUGAGGAUAUGGACAACUGAUACAAACGGGUUCUCGCAUUGAUGAACUUGCAGCUUAUGCAGAUCUUAUUUCUCAAUACACGCUUAGCAGGUUGGCAUAUCCAGUUUUAUAUCUUUAUUUUCUGCAAAGUUUUGUCAUUUCUUAUAGAUUAGAUCAUUUUCUUAUGUCGAUACCAGUUGGCCAUGUUCUGUCUACUGUCUAUGUUAGUUUUACAAUUUUCUCGGUCCUAUGGCUUAAUAGAUAAGUAAUAUUAUUCCGGCAAGGGAGAAUACAGGGCGCCGGGUGGCCAUGGUAGAGGACAGGCCAGACCGCCAGAGGGAGCUGCGGUGCGGCGUUGGCAAAUAGGAACGAUGGGAGGAUUCAGGAAUCAGGAGCAGCUUAGUUAAUUGGGGGUGUGGUGUGGGGCUGUGUUUUUUUUUAAAAAAAUUCGCAUGAGUCCCUUCUUUCUUAUUGCCAAGUUCUAAUACCCUGGAAUUUGCCUUGUUACUUUCUGUAUGCUUACGUGGCAACCCAUAAUAAUGAGAUGAAGAAGUGCACGUCGAUCAAAUUAUACAUAAAGGAAAAGAAACCGAUUUUAGAUGUUGGCAUGACGUGCCAACAUGGCAUGACACGUCGGACCAAGGACGAAAUUAAGCAGCACAAAGAAUUAUAGGGACUGAAAUGGUCGCUUUGGUAGUUGAAGGACGAUAUUAAGCCGUGUUGAGUGUUUGAGGACGAGAAUGGCUAUUCCGUCUAAUACUGACCGUUCGCGUUUUCAUUAAUGAAGUAAAUGAAGGUAUUGUCUUAAGUAAAUGAAUUAAUAAAUGAUAGGAACCGUGCCCAGACCUGAUAAUCCACAGUAAAAGAUAAUCUACAGUCUGAACGUUUUGUUUAGCACCUCCAAUUAUCCGAAGGCCUCACUAUGUUGUUCAACACACAUUAUCUAAUUAUUCUCAUUAAAAUCAAUAUGAAGAAAGCACAAGAAAUAAGUCUAUAAGGUUUCUUCAAAACAUGUGUGUGCUGCACGUGCAUUUUACUAGCACUACUCGAAAACUAAGCAUUAGUCCUGACCCUUAGUACCGGUUGGUUUUUGACUUGGUACUAAUGUGAGCAUUAGUACCAUGUCUAACGGCUAGUUCUCCUUUAGUAUUGGUUGGGAGCUCCAACCGGUACUAAAGAUUACCCAUUACCCGGUACUAAUGGGUGACCUUUAGUACCGUUUGGAACCCUCAACCGGUACUAAAGGAGCUCCCAACCUUUAGUACCCCGUCGCCCCAUCCACCUUAUCCACUCCCACCAUACCCCGCUCCCAUCCUCUCUCUCCGCCCGCCCCCUAUCUUCCUCUUUCUCUGUCCUCUCUCUCUGCGCACUGCUGCCUGGACCUCAUCCUCCUCUAGCGUGGCAGGUCGAAGGUGCGAGGCUGCUGCCCCUCCCCUCCCCCCUCCGCUCGCCCCUCACUAGCGGUGAGGAGAGGCGGCGGGGCAAGGUGUGGAGGCAGUGUUGGGCAAGGUGGUGGCCGAAGGAUGCAGCGCAGGAUGAGGAGCAGCAGCGCGGGUGGAGGAUGCGCCGCAGGACGAGAAGUGACGGUGCAGGUGGAGGAUGCGGCGUAUGGCGCAGGGGAGCCGUGGGGCGAGGCACGGCAGGCCGACGAGGUAAAGGGCCUCACCCUCUCUCUCUAUGAUGGGGGCAAGGGCGGCGGCCUCUCUCUUCCUCGGCGACGGGGCCAAGGGCAGUGACGGGGGUAAGGGUGGCGGUGGGAGGCAAGGGUGGCUACGGGGGCUUCCCCCGCUCUCUCUUUCUCUCUCUCUCCUUGCUGGACCUGCCCUUCUCCCGGCCGCAUCUUGCCUGCUGUGCCCAGCCGCCCCUCCCCGCGACCCACCGGCCACCCGUUCUUCCCGGCCAGCUGCCACUCCUCCUCGCCGGACCUUUGAGGCGCGCCUUAGAGAUCCAGUGAGUAGGAGCGGUGGCCGGUCGGGAAGAAGGGGUGGCCGGCAUGUCAUGGGGGAGGGGCAGCCGGCGCCGACGAGGCGCGGCCGGCGGGAUGCGAGGCCGGGCGACGUUAAUUUUUUUUAUUUUUUAAUAUCCCUUUAGUACCGGUUAUAUGAUCCGGUACUAAAGACCCCCAUUUAACGCUGAAGUAGCAAUACCAGUUGUACAACCGGUACUAAGGGGGAUUAGGAACCGAUACUGUGCUUUCCCCAGCAGCAUAGUUCGGUAAAAUGAAAGUAGAAUCAAAGUUCUGAUCAUCCCUGAACAUUUUUUUUUUUGCUCAUCCACACAGGAACAAGGCCUUACGACUUCCAUCAGAUGUAAAAUGCAAAAGAAGACACCAUUAGAGCUUAUAACCAUUGUACCAAAACAUAGUUUCUGUUCAUAAAGACCAUGCAGUACUUGCAUAAUCUAACCAAAGAAAGCCCACUGUUCCAACAGGGCAUAGUCUGCAAAAGGUACACCAAGUAAGCAUUAACGUUCCAGGACCUGCUAACAGCGGUAUUACAUCAGCUAUCUGGCAACACAAUAAACAAGCAGUCAAGCGCACAAAAUCUCUGCGACUCAAAAAAGGAAAAUAAAACGUCUGGUUCAAAUCUAACUCAAGCGCCCAAGUUACAAAAUCCUAUACUUCAACCCCAAGGGACAUUAGGUGCUUCAAUCUUUUCCACCCAGGAAGAACACAAGCACACAUCUCCAUGUCACUGAAGAUAUUUCACAUCGUAGUGCUUCAAAUAGUCCUGCAUGCAACCGAGUCCAGUGUGAGCAUAGUAAGUUUGGUAAAAUUUAGGUCAGUGACUUUCUCAGUGACGUUAGGAGAAGGCAGUAAUGAAGUAGGAGGAUCAGGGCGGACCCUUAUAAGUUCGUUGAUUUUUCUCCUGUAGUCUUGCAAGUACUUCUUGGCUUUUUGACUUGUGUUGUGAAUGCUUUUUGCUGAGUGCAUAACUUUCUCAACAACCUUCUGCGCAAUGAUUUUAUGGAGCUCUGUUGUCAAGUGACCCAUUUUCCAUGUUUUCUGAAGCUGUUCCUUCACAAAGUUAGUUAAUGCCUUUUUAAAAAUCCUCGGCACUGCAGCAUGACCAGUCACUUCAACUGAGCGGGAUAAAUCUACAGGGUGGGUAUUAUCAUCCCUAGUUUCUUGCUGAAUGGGUGGAGCAGGUGGAGGUGCAGCAGAUGGGACAGAGAUUGCUGUUGCUUCAUGCGGAAUGGGUGGAACGGAUGGAGGCGCAGCAGAUGAAUUUGUCACCAACCUUGGAUCCCGAUUACGCCGGGAAAAUUGCUUUCCAACAGGAGCAGCAGAAAGAAGAGCCUUUCCAUAUGGAUCCUUAAUAUGGGUUUGCUCACUUGCUGCUGCAUCAUGAUAAAUCGAAGCUGCAACCCUAUUAGCAGAUCUGGAGUAUGGCGCAACGGAUACCUCUUGCAAGGUUUGACGCUGAGUUGGCUCAUUUGCACCUACAGGCUGAAAAUUAUGUGUAUUCUGCAUGCUUUGAGUACCAGAAUCUUGGACAUGCUUGGGUAUGCCAGUUGUUUCCUUACUCCCCACAGCUGCCUCAAGAUUCUUACUAAUUUGAUCAUUUACGUUGAAAAUCUGUCCAUUGUGUGAAGAAACAUCUAGAAUUGCAUAUGCCUCUUGAGAAGAUGACUGACCUUGCAGACUAAGAGCUGGAACAUGGACACCUGCCUGAGGAACAAAAUACUCACCUAGCCGUUUUGGAUGCGCCAAAAAUUUAUAUUGAUGCAUUUGGCUGUUCCUAGUAGCAAAAUUAGUAGCAUGCAUCCCAUUUUGUAUACCCAAAACUUGUGAACUGUGGCCCUUGUCAAUGUUGAUGCCAUUUUCACUUAUUCGGCUAGGAAUUAAGAGCGGUGGCGGUUGUAAACCAAAAUCUUGUAAAGGAAACACGUAGUGUUGACUUCUUUGAGCAGAAUUUAGGUUCCCUCUGUCAUAUCCGGACAAAACAUGAGCACUUGUAUGCACAACAACAGGUGUGGUUGGUUCCAUCUGAUUAUUGGGAGCAUUGUGAUGAGGAUACCAGCUAUGACCAUUUGUAUGCACAGAAAUAGCAACAGGUACACGAUGUUCCCUUUCAGUUUCCAAAGCACUGUCAUGGAGAUAUCUGCAAUUUAAACCAUGACGACAGUGACCUUGCACAUAGAAUUUACAGGCAAUUUCUUUUGUCUUUCCUUGCUUCAGCCUUCUCCCAUUGGAUGAAUCCAGACGACCUCUAGCAUCAGAGCUUUCUCUAAUCUCAUCACUAUGGACAUCAUGAGAAGCAGAAUAACCAUGAGAAUAUAGCCAGCCCGCACCCCCAUUCAAUAUUCCUUCCCCAAAAUCAUGGCCUUGCAAAGUAAAGUGGUAAUCUCUUUGUGGUAUGGGUACUGCACCUCUUACCCAUCUAUCAGCUGCAAAAUCAAGUUCUCCAGAUGCCAUGCCUCUCCAUCUCCUCUCAGAAGGACUUCUGCUUCUGAAGCGAAAGGCAUCCCUGUAAAUGCAGACACUUUUCAAUUAAAUGUUCUAUUUACUUUGGAUCACUCUAAAAGCUUUUAGGAUCUCUUAAACAGAUACAUUGAAUACAAACUAAAAAUUAUUCAAAAUAAUAGGCUUACCAUAGUGCAAACAUAAAAACAUAAUCAAAGAUGAAAUUUGGUACUUGUUUGUAGUACUUAAUUCCUUUAUGUCAGAGUAUAAACAACAUGAUUAUGCCAUGUUUUCGUCAAUUGAGCUAGAGUAGUUUGUGCAUGCAAAUCAGGCAGUGUAGUUAAAUACAAGCAUACAAUCAUGCAUACGUAUACAUGAAUCUCAGCUGACGGGGUCUAGAUUAUCAGGUCACUGAAGAGAAGAUGUUACCCAGUUUUUGAUGGAUGUGUAUCCUGAAUAGGGCAUCCUAGUGCAGAUCUGGAGCAUAAGCAAUUUUGCCUAGGCCUCCCUACUUUUUGAUGGUGGCAGACCAGUGCCUGAACCUAAUCAUUAAUUAGGCAGGUCUAGGUGCCCAAGCUAGACAGGAUGGUGUCAACUGGCACCUAGCCGCAAUGCUUAGUGCAGCAAAUUUUUGGCAUGGCAAGACAGAGUAUCUCAGACAUUCUUCAGCGAGUAGUCGGAUUGAAUCUCGUUGCAGCUCAGUUCAAUCUGUUAGAGUGCUCAGUGCUCACGAACUGAAUUCGCAAUAGUUUUAUGUAUCUUACUAGGCAUGCAACGUGAUAGAGGCUUUCCAAUUUGCUCUCGAUGCUGGGAAUGAGUAGACAGGAAAAUUGAGUUGAACAGGAAUAGGAAAAAGAGACAUGUAAACAGGGCAUGCCUAAAGCGCUUUCUUAGAUUAGGGUUGAGGGGAAGGUAGGAUCCCUUCAAAAUGAAAAGUGGGUAGAAGGCCUCCCAAUAUCCCUAGAUUAUUAUUCAUCUAACAAAAGUAGUGCCAUUCUUUGUCGAAAAAGAUUUCUUAUUUCUUUGUCUAGAUGAAAAGGAAGACUAUUUAACAAGGAAUAGAGGCGUAUCUAGCAACUUUUCUUGGAGAAGGGCAAGGGAACAGUAAGGUAAAUCUAUUGGUGGAGAAAGCAGACGAUGUUCAUGUUGGGUAUAUGAGUAGAACAAGGAUUUGGAAACCAGCAAGCUCAAGGUCGAGAUUGGUUACUGAAUGAUCCCAGGAAGCCAGACACAAAAGUUAGUUGAAGCUUGGGUAUUGGGAUGGAACACUGGCUGGUAAGUAUGGAUCAGGUUUGGUUAUUAGCUUGAGCUGCUAAGAGAAUCAGUAAUGGAAUUUGGAUGCGGCAAUGGAAAACGUGAAUGCCCGUCUAUGAAUGCACAUGUAUAUGAUUUUGGUUCACUUGUACAAGAUAGUCAACAAUUAAAUUCAUGAAGAGUUCUUUUUUUAGGGUCAACAUGGUGUGUGUGGGGGGGAGGGGGGGGGGAGCAUCCCCACCUGAAUAUAUAUUGCGGUUGUUUUGCGAGCCAAAAAGCAGUACAGGUGCUUUGUAGCAGUUUUUGGGAGAACAGGGGGAGGUGAAAAACUGCUAGUUAAAUUCAUGAAGAGUUAACACAGGAUCCAAAUGCUAAUGCUUACACAGUUAAAGAGAGUAAUUAUUUUAUUCAACUAUACCUGUGGGACUGGUUCCAAGGACUUUCCGGAGAUCCUUCGAUUGCAUCAGACCUGGGCCACUCUUUGCAAACAUAUCUAUCCAUUUGAACCUUUCUUCAGAUGUUCUGAUGAAAUCCAAAAUGUUAACUAGUUUCAACUACGAUCCUCCUCUCAUAAAAAAUAAUCUAUGAAGUUCUCUGCAAUGAUCAUGAAAUAUGAAUGUAGUGAUCACAGGCUUAACAAAGGAUAAUUUCACUGAUAGGAAAAUAAAAUUGGGAAUCUCUGGAAUGAAACCAAGUCCAGUAAUUAUGGCAAACUGUAAAGGAUGCAUUAAACAGAUAUGAUUUUUUUAUCCUGAACUCCAAAAACUCACAAUUAGCAGUGACAACGGAAGUCACUACUCUAAACAAAAGUGUGCCCACAAAAGUGCAUGAUCCUCCAAGACAACUUUAUGAUGGUCAAUAUCAGGCAAUACAGGAUUGCAGUAUAGUUCUUUGAUUGUGAUCAGUAUUAAGAAGGUAUCUUAACCGCAAGUCUCUGUACUCUGUGCGUACCGCCCGAGAGGCUUAACACAAAUUAUCCCACACAAUCUAUUCUUCCUAUUCCUACAGUUGUGUCCAUUGACUAUCCCACAGAAGUGUUGUUGAUUAAGGAUCAUGACUGACCCUGUUUCACUGGCACCAACAUCAAAAAAGUUCAACCCACAGCCCAAGCGCAAGUAAAUCACUUUUAUCGAGAAAUUAUGAGGUUGAACAGAUGCUAAAAAAAGGAAUAAGAUAUCUUUUGCAUGGAUUUAUAUUCAUGAUGAUGGUGUCUUUAAUUUAAUUGAGUGCAUAACUGGAAUUCUAGGGAUGGCCUUGUCAAGCCACAUCAACCACAAAGUUUUGUUCUCCACCAACAUGGUUCUAGUAGACACUAGAUGCAUACAUGAAGGGUAUUAUCUCAGAGGAAAUAUUCUUUGGCCACCAAUUAGUUCAUUCUUUCAUAGUGUCCACUGCUUCUCUUCAAUGCCAUCCAUUUCCAUGGUUACAUACUCCCUCUGUCCCAAAAGACAAGCCAUUCUAGGAAUUUUAGGAUAGAUUAAUAAAACGGUAAAAUGACCUUGUUUACCCCUAUUUAUUAGCCAUAUUUGGCGCUAAUUGAUAGCCGCCUGCACAUGCACAUUCUAAGUAGGAUAAAAUGACUUGUUUUGAGACAAAUUUUGAAUACAAGAAUGACUUAUUUUUUUGGACGGAGGGAGUAUGGAGUAGGAGCAGGAGUGCAGGAUAUUCUUGAGUAAUACAUUUGGGACAAGAAACUAUUUCCAGGAGGCACAUGUGCAAAUUAUCAUUAGGAAAGCACACCAAAACUUUGGUCUGCAUGAUCUCCAAGAGGGGUGAAUUGACAAUUCAUCAAAUUGAUGAUAAUCUUAUGGGACCUAGGAGUUCAUGCCCAUGAUCCACAUCCUCAUCAAGAACAUCAAUAGGCAUAUCAUCAACAUAGGCGACGCGAUGUUUCAACACUACUUAGACUAUGAGCCAUGAUGAACGACAAAGACUAUACAAAGUUUUCGAUGGGCCAUCUUCAAGGAUAAGCUGCUUGCAAAUGUGUGGAGAAUUGUUAUGAACCCAAAGCUAUCCCAUGGCCAAACUACACUGGUUGGCCCAUAAGUUUACUUUCCCAUUGAUUUGAUCAAUAUCUUACUCUCCCUCCCUUCAUCUCAUGUGCCCUUGUCUCUAUCCCUCACAUGCCUCUCUGUCAUGUAUGAGCCAUCCUGCCAUGUAUUACAUCAGGCCAGCACUUUGUUACAGGCAUACAAAAGGGAACAAGCAGCAACAACUACAACAUCAAAUAGAUCAGAACAGCUCUUCUUGUACCUCCUCAUUAGUGCCUUAAUUCCUGUAACCCCCCCACCCCCCACAAUCACCGCUCGUCUUUUUAGCCUCCCUUACCCAUGCUAUUCCCCAUAUAGUUCCUCUUGAAUUCUACCUCAAUUACUUGUAUCAGAUACCACUAACGAAAUACUCUUUUCCCCUUUAUCCACCUCCCCCUUCUCAUUCCCAUUCCCCUCUCUUCCUUCCUAGGGCAUCGGCCCUCCUUCAGCCGCCACCUUCACUUUUCCCUCUCCCUCUCCAAUCCCCUCUCGUGGUUCCAUGCCACAGAUCUAGAAAGAGAAAGUACUAAACUAAAUCUUUUAAUGGAAUCAAACAUUCAAACAAGCAGAUCCGGAAAGUACUGAGUGAACCUGAGAACCUAGGCACGCAUACAAAUAAGGUAGUGGGGAUUUACCUUGAUUCGGGAAAUUCUUUGAUGGCGAUGAGUAGGGAGCAAGAGAUGGAGGGUGCGAUCGAGAGAGAAGGGGGGAUGAAGGGGAAAGGGUAGGGAAGGCGAGCGAGCGAGGGAGGAAGGGAAAGAAAGGAGAAGGAAGAAAGAUGGGGCUCCUAAAUCUUCCAUCCGAUAUUAGCCUUGGCGACAAAAAGCCCAAUAGCAGCAUUACUUCUAGCCAAAUGCAGCCCAACAACAGGAGGCCCAGGGUCCAAGUUUGUUUGUCCAUUUUUACUAUCAUUUUAGGAACAGGUUGGGGUAACCCUUGUGAUUAAUGCAAGACCAAUUUUACUUGAAACUUGAAUAUACCUAAUUCAACAAUUUUCCAAACUUAUUUCAACAAUAACUUAAUAGCCUAUAGUCCACAUUUUUAUGUUUAAGUAGUAAAUUCAAAGUGUUGAAAUAGUAACUUCAAAAUUGUUCCAAAAUGUUGAAAAAGCGCACUAAAAUGUUUGAAAUUAAAUUCAAAAUUUUUAAAUAGUAAACGCAAAAAUUUG
RNAcentral lists this long non-coding RNA (10623 nucleotides) under Setaria viridis. RNAcentral describes it as "long non-coding RNA (SVIR_LNC003377)". Lineage: Eukaryota; Viridiplantae; Streptophyta; Magnoliopsida; Poales; Poaceae. The record is from RNAcentral.